UACGAAGGGGGCUAGCGUUGUUCGGAUUUACUGGGCGUAAAGCGCACGUAGGCGGAUUGUUAAGUCAGGGGUGAAAUCCUGGAGCUCAACUCCAGAACUGCCUUUGACACUGGCAAUCUAGAGUCCGGAAGAGGUGAGUGGAACUCCUAGUGUAGAGGUGGAAUUCGUAGAUAUUAGGAAGAACACCAGUGGCGAAGGCGGCUCACUGGUCCGGUACUGACGCUGAGGUGCGAAAGCGUGGGGAGCAAACAGG
Molecule: ribosomal RNA, 253 nt
Filed under: uncultured bacterium
Lineage: Bacteria
Description: partial 16S ribosomal RNA
Rfam family: Bacterial small subunit ribosomal RNA
Source: RNAcentral